This is a long non-coding RNA of Equus asinus (donkey), 2963 nucleotides long. NCBI's taxonomy places the organism in Eukaryota, Metazoa, Chordata, Mammalia, Perissodactyla, Equidae. The record is from Ensembl.
CAAUCAACCAUGGUUGUUUUUUUUUCUUCUUCUUCUUCUCGGAAUUCAACAUUUUGGGGCUGCCCUGAGCAAACAGACAUGAUGUAUGCAGCCACACCUUGGCACUACCUAUGGCAGGCCUCCAGUAUGAGUAUGAUGUUCCAACCUCAGCAGCAUAAGAGAGACCACAUCAUGAAGGGAGUCACGACUUGGCACAAGAGCCACCCAAGGUCAUGGGACAGAAAUGAGAAAAACUGGUAUCUCUGGAGGGCAGCUGAGAAGGCAAAAUCAGGGCAUCAGUGACCUUUCUUUCCAAUCUAGCCUCUUCCCACAAAGCAAAUAGCAAGUCUUGUGUGUUGUUUAUGGCCACUCCCUGUUCCCCUGCUGGCCGUUUAACUCAAACUCACUCCCAUAUGGGCUAUUCCCUUUCCAGUUCAGAAAACCGACAGGAAUGUGGAAGUCCUCAGUGGUCCAGAGGUCAUCACUGAGGAAUUGUGUGUCUGACCUGUUGCUCCUCACUCCUUUGUGCUCACUUUGUUCUUGGUCACAUCGCAGUUUGCAGGGGACUGUCACCUACCCUGAUUCAUACCUGGGUUGGCUGCGUGUCUGGACCCCUGGCCUAGUCCUUUUAUCCUGAGGUUAAAUCUACUUCUGAUAUUUCCAAAAUCUGUUAAGGCAAGCUCCAUUGUUGUAUGGCCCAGAUGUGCCCCUGAGACCCCUACUCCCUCCACCUCUGCCGGAUGGACCAGAUCUCUUUAAAUUUAACCCAGAUUACAAUAAAGUUUACUUAAACCCUAAAUUGGGAGCAUUCCUGCAGGGCACAAAAUCUUCUGUGCUGGUAAAUUUUCUCUAGCCAAAUGCCUAGUUUUAUUUCCUCCUACUUAGUAAUAGCUUCCAUCCUGCAAGCUUAGAGUCCAGGCAGCACCACUUAGAAUUGACCGUUUGGGACAACAGUGAGAUGGCGUUUCCCAUCCGACAGACAGAGCCGAGCCUCGGGGACCCCAGGUGCUGGUCAUUUCCCAGAGGCAGGCAGUGGCCAGUUGUUCCUAAGCGGCAGAAGCCAGACACAGGUGUUAAGUAUGAGACAAGGAUUUCGUUUUGGGAAACAGGAUUAUCCCUCAACAUGGCUUUAGUGAGAAGAAGAGCAAUGCUGCUAAUAUUAGGAACAAGGAAGCACGUCAAAUCCCCGCGUACAGCCUGAGGAAGUCAAGGAGAGAUACAUGGCUUGAGGAGCAAGAAAAGACUCAAAGAAUAACCCCUGCAAGUAGCAGAUCCGGGGUCCACGUGAACAAGGAGGUGCCCGGGAGAGGCUGAGUGAGGGAUGCUGCUUUGAGAGGAUGCCAAGGUUAACUGGGAAGCUUGUAGUUUUUAUGAGCUCCAGAAUAUUAUGGAUAUGGUCACACAAAGGUUCCAAAGAGCUCACCCACCCGUCAUCAGGGCCUGCGUGUUUUGAAGGGCUUCCCCCGCUGGUCUGUUCAAUUUAUGGCAUCAUAGCUGUGAAUUAAGUCCAGGCUUCAGGACACCUGCUUUUCACCUUAUGAUGCAGGAGAUCCAAUGAUACUCAAAUUAUCUGUGGGAAAUAAGAAUGCUGUAUGGGGCACCUGGCCAGAACCUGCAGGAGAAUCGCAGUGCAAACUUCAAGGAUUUUGGAGAAAACCCAUACCUUUUUUGGCAGACAGGGACUUGGAAGAAAUAAGAAUGGAAGAUUGGUGAGAAGGAGCUCUUGGGAAGAAGUAUGUGAAUGGACCUCUCUGAAUGAGCACAGACUGUGAAGAGAGUUUUUUCCUUUGUAAAAUGCUGGAUUAUCCUCCUCUUACUUUUGACAAACAUACCUAUUUAAUGCUGUUACCGAAAUGAAAUACGUAAGUGUUGGAAAUAAUCAGAAACUGCAGACACAAGAGAAGCUCUGAAAAUUGAGUAAAAGUUACUCUUUUAUAAGAGAUAUUUACAUUUAUAAGGGAAAUCUCCAUCUCUAAGAGUAUCUCCCUCUCAAUACCAGAAAGAGGAGGUUGACCAAAUCUCUAGUUCUUAUCAAUGAAGAAAGCAAGGACUUAAAUCUGAAUAAGAGCCUUACUCCUGUUUAUUACAACUUCUUGAUCUUUGACUUGUUUGAGGAAUCGUAUGAGAUGGAAGCAACGCUGUGCUGGUCCUGGGCCUAGCCCUUAAGAAUGUUGGCUGUUUCAAUUUCUGCAAUCUUGGAAGUCAAGCUGCAUGUGAGAAGUCUGAUAGCACUGUGCCGUAAGGGAUCCUAAGCUAGCCGUGUGAAGAAUCCAGGUGGAGAGAGAAAGAUGACGGGUCCACUACAAACUGUAUCAUCCUUUCCAGCUGAGGCACCAGACUUGGGAAUGAAAAAGGCCUCUUGAAUGAUCCAGCCCCAGGAGGUACCAUGUAGAACAGACCAGCUGCACAGCUGGGCCUGCCUCAGAUUGCAGAAUCAUGAGAAAUAAUAAAUUGUGCUUAUAAAAAAAAUGAACUACAGUUUUGGGUUUGUUUCUCACAUGUAAACCUCACAUUUUGGGUUUGUUUCUCUAGUGAUAGAUAACUGGAAUACAAAUUAGUACCUAGAAGUGGGACACUGCCAUGACAAAAACCUGAAACAUAUGGUAUUAGUUUGGGGACCAGACUGAGGCCUGACGGGAAGCAAAGAGACAAUUUGUGGACCUUGGAAGGGAAGAAAUUCUAGAGAGUGAAGCUGUGCUAUGUAUUCUUAAAACAAUUAGUCAGACGGUCACCUUCCGUGACAUGGAAAAUAAAAAUUGGACCUAACGAAGUUGUGGAUGUGAAUACAUAUAUUUCCAGGCAGACUUUGGCAACUAAAUUUGGCUUCCUUAAGCUGUCUAUGACAGUGUAUUGCAAGAGAAAGAUGAAAUAAAGAAGGAAUACUUUGGUAUUCAAGGAGACUAAACAAGAAUUUUUCUGGGUUACAUUCCCAGCUCUUCCAGAAAGCAAAAGAUUUUCAGAGUAAAAAUGACCUCAGGGCAAAG